GGCCUACCAUGGUGGUAACGGGUAACGGGGUGUUAGGGCACGACACCGGAGAGGGAGCCUGAGAAACGGCUACCACAUCCAAGGAUGGCAGCAGGCGCGCAAAUUACCCAAUCCCGACAUGGGGAGGUAGUGACAAUAAAUAACAAUACAGGGUUCUUUUGGAUCUUGUAAUUGGAAUGAGUACAAUUUAAAUCUCUUAACGAGGAACAAUUGGAGGGCAAGUCUGGUGCCAGCAGCCGCGGUAAUUCCAGCUCCAAUAGCGUAUAUUAAAGUUGCUGCAGUUAAAAAGCUCGUAGUUGAAUUUCGGGAUCAAUAUGUUGGUCGUGCCUUGGUACGUACUAGCUUAUUGAUUUCUCCUUUCUGACGAACCAUGAUGUCAUUAAUUUGGUGUCAGGGGGAAUCAGGACUGUUACUUUGAAAAAAUUAGAGUGUUUAAAGCAGGCUCGCGCUUGAAUACAUUAGCAUGGAAUAAUGAAAUAGGACAUUUGAUUCUAUUUUGUUGGUUUCUAGGAUCGAUGUAAUGAUUAAUAGGGAUAGUUGGGGGCAUUAGUAUUCAAUUGUCAGAGGUGAAAUUCUUGGAUUUAUUGAAGACUAACUACUGCGAAAGCAUUUGCCAAGGAUGUUUUCAUUAAUCAAGAACGAAAGUUAGGGGAUCGAAGACGAUCAGAUACCGUCGUAGUCUUAACCAUAACUAUGCCGACUAGGGAUCGGAUGAUGUUAAUUUUUUAAUGACUCAUUCGCGCCUUACG
This 749-nucleotide ribosomal RNA is filed under the name uncultured Glomeromycotina. RNAcentral describes it as "SSU rRNA". It matches the Rfam family "Eukaryotic small subunit ribosomal RNA", at positions 338 to 1092 of the family's 1831-position model. The record is from RNAcentral. Lineage: Eukaryota; Fungi; Glomeromycota.